Oncorhynchus masou masou (cherry salmon) is the source of this 518-nucleotide long non-coding RNA. RefSeq lists it as uncharacterized. NCBI's taxonomy places the organism in Eukaryota, Metazoa, Chordata, Actinopteri, Salmoniformes, Salmonidae. The transcript has 2 exons. The record is from RefSeq and is a predicted model, not a curated record.
GUGUUAUUUCCUGGGGAUUGAAAAGGCACCACAUAACAGGAAUGACCCAGCUAACAAUGUGCACUCUCACGCAGCCUGCACAGUGUGUGUAGGACAACAAAAGGCACAAUAAGGAAGUAAGACGUACUCAACCCAUAGCAGUUUGUAGCGAGUCAUCUCCUCAUCAUAAACCAAAGCGGUUCCAGACGACAUCUUUCAACAAAGUAUUCGUGACUUCAAUGCCAGAAGAAGGGGUUCACACCUUUAAAGAAAAGUUGACGGAAUGUAAAUAGCUACCUGUAAAGUCGAUAUACGAAUUUAGAUUAGAUUUUAGGGAAACACAUUCAUCGCGCUUUUCUUGCCAGCGGUGCAGACAUGUUUGUGUUGCGUGACCACAGGACAGAUUUGAUUGGUCUAAACGAGUACAUUUAUACAUUUUGAAUUUCAUUGUUUUUAGAUAUUAAUAUCACAUGUGGAUUUGUAAAAUUACCUAUGGUGAACAUUUGUUGAGCUCAAUCAAAAUAAAACAUUCUGUAAAA